GACGAACGCUGGCGGCGUGCCUAAUACAUGCAAGUCGAACGAACUCUGGUAUUGAUUGGUGCUUGCAUCAUGAUUUACAUUUGAGUGAGUGGCGAACUGGUGAGCAACACGUGGGAAACCUGCCCAGAAGCGGGGGAUAACACCUGGAAACAGAUGCUAAUACCGCAUAACAACUUGGACCGCAUGGUCCGAGCUUGAAAGAUGGCUUCGGCUAUCACUUUUGGAUGGUCCCGCGGCGUAUUAGCUAGAUGGUGGGGUAACGGCUCACCAUGGCAAUGAUACGUAGCCGACCUGAGAGGGUAAUCGGCCACAUUGGGACUGAGACACGGCCCAAACUCCUACGGGAGGCAGCAGUAGGGAAUCUUCCACAAUGGACGAAAGUCUGAUGGAGCAACGCCGCGUGAGUGAAGAAGGGUUUCGGCUUGUAAAACUCUGUUGUUAAAGAAGAACAUAUCUGAGAGUAACUGUUCAGGUAUUGACGGUAUUUAACCAGAAAGCCACGGCUAACUACGUGCAGCAGCCGCGGUAAUACGUAGGUGGCAAGCGUUGUCCGGAUUUAUUGGGCGUAAAGCGAGCGCAGGCGGUUUUUUAAGUCUGAUGUGAAAGCCUUCGGCUCAACCGAAGAAGUGCAUCGGAAACUGGGAAACUUGAGUGCAGAAGAGGACAGUGGAACUCCAUGUGUAGCGGUGAAAUGCGUAGAUAUAUGGAAGAACACCAGUGGCGAAGGCGGCUGUCUGGUCUGUAACUGACGCUGAGGCUCGAAAGUAUGGGUAGCAAACAGGAUUAGAUACCCUGGUAGUCCAUACCGUAAACGAUGAAUGCUAAGUGUUGGAGGGUUUCCGCCCUUCAGUGCUGCAGCUAACGCAUUAAGCAUUCCGCCUGGGGAGUACGGCCGCAAGGCUGAAACUCAAAGGAAUUGACGGGGGCCCGCACAAGCGGUGGAGCAUGUGGUUUAAUUCGAAGCUACGCGAAGAACCUUACCAGGUCUUGACAUACUAUGCAAAUCUAAGAGAUUAGACGUUCCCUUCGGGGACAUGGAUACAGGUGGUGCAUGGUUGUCGUCAGCUCGUGUCGUGAGAUGUUGGGUUAAGUCCCGCAACGAGCGCAACCCUUAUUAUCAGUUGCCAGCAUUAAGUUGGGCACUCUGGUGAGACUGCCGGUGACAAACCGGAGGAAGGUGGGGAUGACGUCAAAUCAUCAUGCCCCUUAUGACCUGGGCUACACACGUGCUACAAUGGAUGGUACAACGAGUUGCGAACUCGCGAGAGUAAGCUAAUCUCUUAAAGCCAUUCUCAGUUCGGAUUGUAGGCUGCAACUCGCCUACAUGAAGUCGGAAUCGCUAGUAAUCGCGGAUCAGCAUGCCGCGGUGAAUACGUUCCCGGGCCUUGUACACACCGCCCGUCACACCAUGAGAGUUUGUAACACCCAAAGUCGGUGGGGUAACCUUUUAGGAACCAGCCGCCUAAGGUGGGACAGAUGAUUAGGGUG
RNAcentral lists this ribosomal RNA (1488 nucleotides) under Lactiplantibacillus plantarum. RNAcentral describes it as "bacterial SSU rRNA". It matches the Rfam family "Bacterial small subunit ribosomal RNA". The record is from RNAcentral. Lineage: Bacteria; Bacillati; Bacillota; Bacilli; Lactobacillales; Lactobacillaceae.